AUGCUUGCUUCAGCGGUACAUAUACUAAAACCGGAACGAUCCAGAGAAGAUUAGCAUGGCCUUUGUGCAAGGAUGACGCAAAUUCUUGAAGUUUUCCUAAUUUUU
This 105-nucleotide small nuclear RNA is filed under the name Echinops telfairi (small Madagascar hedgehog). The record is from RNAcentral. Lineage: Eukaryota; Metazoa; Chordata; Mammalia; Afrosoricida; Tenrecidae.